CUAAUAGUUAGAUCAUCGAAUAACGGAUUAUAGAGCAAUUUUCAAUCUAUGGUCCUAAGAGGGUAUUAUGUCGUGUGGUGAUCUGAUGUUGACAUUAGUUGGGUAGAUCUUAGUUGAAGAUAUUUGAGAGGGGAUAGAUUAGAAACAUACACCCUCCUUAGCCUCUGAAUCAACCAAAGCCUUAACUACUCGACUAAUGGGUUAUGGUAUCAGCAUAAUACUAGUGUAUGACUCCCACACACCACCAGUUUCAACACUCCAAUAGAAAACUGGUAUCAAUUUUCAACCAAAUACCCAUUCCCCAGAACCAAUUCUAGACAAUUCAUUAUUUUUUAUCUUCUUCUUAACCCAAUCAGUCUCUGCCAAAAUUACCAAAACAUUAGCUUCUGCAUAUGAUGUCUGUCCUUCAACCAUACGACAUCCCAGUUGGAUUUCUUCGCAAAGGCUUGAUUGACUACUAAUUAGACAGCUACCCAGAAUUGGUGCUAUGUUAUGAGGAAGAACAGAAUGUCUUUAUCAAAAGAGAUCGAGGUGCUAGUCUGGGAGUCAGAGUUUAGUUGCAAUUCAUUCAUGAGGUCCAAUUUGCAUCAUAUUUACUUUAUUUAAUUUUUUUUAUAUUUUUUAGUUAACGUUGGAUUUCAAAUGUACUCUCUUAAUGAUAGAAUAUCUUAAGGGUGAGACUGAAUAUUUAUAGGUAGUCUAACGCAGUCUCUUAGAAUGUGGCACCAUUAGUCCGACAACAGUUGAUAGAGAAGACAAUGUUAGGAUCAUAAAAUUUGAAAUUUAAUUCAAUCCUAAAGAACAUUAAAAGGUGAGGUUUGUAAAUUAUUUAUAAAACGAUACAUCUUGUGUGCUUGGGAUUUCUGACAAUCAUUUCCGAUGAGGAUAUGCUCCAAUUCUCAGUUGCAAUUGCUUCUGUAGACUUUGCGGUUAGUAAUUUUUUAUUGAAUCCCAUUUGUGGUUGUAGCGUUGACUGGUUCAUGGGGUUGGUUGGCACUUGAGAGUCAAUGCAUAACUCAAGUGAUAUUGUACAGUCUUAGGUGGAUCUAAUCGGCACAUGGUGCUUAUCAAAUACUUCGAAGGAGGAUCAUCGUGGUUGUGGCUAUCGUUUGAUGCAUGUGUCGUAUUAACCAUCGCAUAUCGUUAUUGUGAUAACAUUGCAUUUAAUACUCUCUGUCAACAACUUGGAUAAUAAUUUUGGAAACAGAGGAUUAUGAACUGCUUUCUUUAUCUAGAAGUUCCGUCAAUUAAACAUUAAACGAAUAAAUCCACAUGUCACACGUUCAUGAAUGAAUAUGUGUGCUAUGUUUUGAACAGUCAUCAAAAGUUGGAAAGGAAACUAGUGAAAUGGUUAUUUGAUAAUCCAAAAUAGUGUGGCAGAUGAUUUGGGAAGUUCAGAGUCAGUCAAAAUAAACUUCAACCAAAGAACUUUGCAGGGACAAAUACCAGUGUCCGAUAUUCAGUUUCGAUAGAUGAAGGAUGAUAUAGAUAAAGUGGCCAUUUUUCUUUUUAUUUCCAUGAAAUCAAGGACAUGCCAAAGAAAACACCCAAUAUAGCUAGUUAUUAUGGACUUGUAAGAAUUUAGCCAGCUAUCUAAUCCUUGUUUUCACAAACUGAGAUAUUGAAAUAAGA
RNAcentral lists this small RNA (1632 nucleotides) under Vigna angularis var. angularis. RNAcentral's name for it is "Non-protein coding transcript". The record is from RNAcentral. Lineage: Eukaryota; Viridiplantae; Streptophyta; Magnoliopsida; Fabales; Fabaceae.